AACCGUGGUUUUCUUAAUGACAUCUGUGGUUUCUUUUUUAUAUUUAAGUACUUAACCUAUCUGGAGUUUUAAAAAUAGCAUUAUACAUCCAAGGCAGGAGUGAAUUUUCUCUUUUUCAAUUGGAGAGUCGAUUGGGAUGUAAGAACUCUGUGAGAUUCCAGAACUUUCGUAACUUCUCUGCUGUUCUAAUUUCCAUGGAGUGAUUAGAAGGGGUUAAAAGGAACUUUGUUGAUGCUUGUUUUUAAGCUCAGGGACAGCCAGGAAUGGGGGAUGAGAUGAGGCUGGGAUGCAGUCUUCAGACAAGGCUGGGAGGAUGCAAUGUGGUACCCAGAGGAGGGGAAGCAGCUGAGCUCUGCAGUGAAAAAGAAAGGAGGGCGGGAAAGGGGAGGCCCCCUGACGUGCAGCUGGACCUGGGAGAAAUGUGUGUGCAGGGGAUGCUGAUUACCCUCCUCCAGGUCACUCCCUCCUCUCCCAGUCACUUCUGCUCUCCUGACUUCUGGUUCCUGUCUAUCUUCACUCACUCACUCCGUGAUCCUCUGUUAGGUGGCAGACACGGGUUUGGCUUACACAGAAAAAGACACAAAACCCUGUCCUCAAGAAGUACUUUGUCUAGUAGAAGAGAAAAUGAAGGUCUUCACCAGUAUCUCGCGUUAAGGGUUCUGACAGAGAUAGAAGAAGCUGUGUGUCCUCCCAGACCACAGCUGAACCAGCUGAGAGGCAAGGGGAAUCCAGGGACCCUGCCAGGAUGUGGGCGUGUUGAAGGUGAGAUGGGAAGGAGGCACCCAGUCAUUAACCAGGCAGCAAAGGUGGGGAGACAGAAAGUGAAGCCAGGUCUGGAUUUCUGGGCUCUUCUUUACACAUGGAUUCAGGGUGGGAAGAGGAGAUUUGCAGAAAGCAAAUCUCAAGUGCCACGGGCAAAGAUAAGGACUUUGAUUUUUUUUUUUUUUUUUUCCCUUAAAGCAAAGGGAGCAACUGAAGGAUUUAUAAGCAGGGAAGUGACGUGUGUACAUCUGAAUUUUAGGCAGAUCUGUUA
Molecule: long non-coding RNA, 1033 nt
Filed under: Bos grunniens (domestic yak)
Lineage: Eukaryota; Metazoa; Chordata; Mammalia; Artiodactyla; Bovidae
Description: lncRNA (ENSBGRG00000002276.1)
Source: RNAcentral